GGCCACGUACCCGAGGGGUUAGGGAGCGGUCUGCAAAACCGUUUACGUGGGUUCGAGUCCCACCGUGGCCU
This 71-nucleotide transfer RNA is filed under the name Patescibacteria group bacterium. RNAcentral describes it as "tRNA-Cys". It matches the Rfam family "tRNA". From Rfam's summary of the family: Transfer RNA (tRNA) molecules are approximately 80 nucleotides in length. Their secondary structure includes four short double-helical elements and three loops (D, anti-codon, and T loops). The record is from RNAcentral.